AGAGUUUGAUCAUGGCUCAGAUUGAACGCUGGCGGCAUGCCUUACACAUGCAAGUCGAACGGCAGCACGGGAGCAAUCCUGGUGGCGAGUGGCGAACGGGUGAGUAAUACAUCGGAACGUGCCCAAUCGUGGGGGAUAACGCAGCGAAAGCUGUGCUAAUACCGCAUACGAUCUACGGAUGAAAGCAGGGGACCGCAAGGCCUUGCGCGAAUGGAGCGGCCGAUGGCAGAUUAGGUAGUUGGUGGGGUAAAGGCUCACCAAGCCAACGAUCUGUAGCUGGUCUGAGAGGACGACCAGCCACACUGGGACUGAGACACGGCCCAGACUGCGACGGGAGGCAGCAGUGGGGAAUUUUGGACAAUGGGCGUAAGCCUGAUCCAGCCAUGCCGCGUG
This 393-nucleotide ribosomal RNA is filed under the name uncultured beta proteobacterium. RNAcentral describes it as "bacterial SSU rRNA". It matches the Rfam family "Bacterial small subunit ribosomal RNA", at positions 8 to 403 of the family's 1533-position model. Lineage: Bacteria; Pseudomonadati; Pseudomonadota; Betaproteobacteria. The record is from RNAcentral.